AGAGUUUGAUCCUGGCUCAGGACGAACGCUGGCGGCGUGCUUAACACAUGCAAGUCGAACGAGGUCCAUCCGGUAGCAAUACUGGUGAAGACCUAGUGGCGAACGGGUGAGUAACACGUGAGCAACCUGCCCCGAAGACUGGGAUAACAGCGGGAAACCGCUGCUAAUACCGGAUACCCCCACCGGGUCGCAUGGCCUGGUGAGGAAAUGGAUUCCGCUUCGGGAGAGGCUCGCGGCCUAUCAGCUUGUUGGUGGGGUAACGGCCCACCAAGGCGACGACGGGUAGCUGGUCUGAGAGGACGAUCAGCCGCACUGGGACUGAGACACGGCCCAGACUCCUACGGGAGGCAGCAGUGGGGAAUAUUGCGCAAUGGGCGAAAGCCUGACGCAGCAACGCCGCGUGAGGGAUGAAGGCCUUCGGGUUGUAAACCUCUUUCAAGCAGGGACGAUAAUGACGGUACCUGCAGAAGAAGCUCCGGCCAACUACGUGCCAGCAGCCGCGGUAAUACGUAGGGAGCGAGCGUUGUCCGGAUUCAUUGGGCGUAAAGAGCUCGUAGGCGGCUUGGUAAGUCGGAUGUGAAACCUCCAGGCUCAACCUGGAGUCGCCAUCCGAUACUGCCAUGGCUAGAGUCCGGUAGGGGCCCACGGAAUUCCUGGUGUAGCGGUGAAAUGCGCAGAUAUCAGGAGGAACACCGAUGGCGAAGGCAGUGGGCUGGGCCGGCACUGACGCUGAGGAGCGAAAGCGUGGGGAGCGAACAGGAUUAGAUACCCUGGUAGUCCACGCCGUAAACGUUGGGCACUAGGUGUGGGGUCUUAUCAACGGACUCCGUGCCGUAGCUAACGCAUUAAGUGCCCCGCCUGGGGAGUACGGCCGCAAGGCUAAAACUCAAAGGAAUUGACGG
Molecule: ribosomal RNA, 902 nt
Filed under: uncultured bacterium
Lineage: Bacteria
Description: bacterial SSU rRNA
Rfam family: Bacterial small subunit ribosomal RNA
Source: RNAcentral